RNAcentral lists this long non-coding RNA (711 nucleotides) under Homo sapiens (human). Its description in RNAcentral is "HSALNT0239936". Lineage: Eukaryota; Metazoa; Chordata; Mammalia; Primates; Hominidae. The record is from RNAcentral.
AGAGGAUUGUUUUGAGGUGACCAGAGAGGCCAUGCUCCAUUUGGGCAUUGACACCCCUACCCAGAACAACAUCUUUAAGGUCAGAAGAAAAGCCACGCCACUUAAGUUUGGCAGAGAUGACGGGCAGCCCUUUGCAUAGAGCUUUUCCCUGGACUUGGAGUUGGUCUUUCCCUGAGGAUCUAGGACUUUGGGCCCUUCUGUGCUACCUCCAAGGAAUCAGUCACCUCUGUUCUGCUGAGUCUGGAGACCAGGUGGUGGGGUGGACGGGGCAUAAGGAAGAGUGAUGCAUACACAGUGCUAGAGUACAGAAUGCAGUAAGUGAUCCAUGGGGGCAGAGAGCAAGGUACCGCAUGAUCAGAAGAGAGAACUAGUGCUACCGCCUUGCUUGUCUAGUACAUUAAAACUUACAAGUCAUGUUCACACUUCUCUGCUCACUUAGUUUUUUAAACAGUCCUCUGUGUGUGUUUAUUUCCCUUUAUGCCUGAGAAAACCAGAGAGGUAAAGUGACGUGCCCAAGGUCAGAUACCACUAAGUGGUGAUACAGAGUACCAGACAUAGUAAUUCCAAGUUCCUACCCUCUCUGUCUUCCCCCAACCCGUGCCCCGUCGUCCUCUGGAACAUGAGACUGCCCCAGAGCAGCAGGAGGGGAUAGAUAGGAUGGCCUGGCAGUCGAGAAAGGGAGGCCACUUCAGGGAGGUAGCAAUGCAGUGG